AGGAUCAGCAUGACUGUAGUGUUCCUGGCUUAACCCUGAGAGGUUGCUGUUCCCAGUGACUAUCUAGGCUGAAGCCCAUGUAGGAUUUGAAGAGACUGAUCCAGGCUUUAUGAGUGGCUGCGACCAUGCUGUAUGUGUGUAUGUGUGUGUGUACACCGCCUAAGUGUGUUCAUUUCAGCCACAGCAAGAGUUAUGUUACAAGGAUAGCAUAGACAGCCCUGCCUAUUGCAAGAGUAAUGCAUCAGGUGUGAAACAGAUCUUUAAUGCUGUGUGAAGCAGGCUCUUUUAAGGUCAGCCAGACUUUCUGGGGAAAAAGAAACUAUUGCCUAACCCUUCAGGUCAUGGAGACUUAUGUUUUUGUGUUUUUCUCGCAGUUUUACAGUUUUAGCACCUACAUUUAAGUCUUUGAUCCCUUUUGUGUUCAUUUUUAUGGAUAGUGAGAAGUAGGGGUUCAAAUCCAUUUUUUUUUUCAUCUAGAUAUUCAGUUGUCCCAGAAUCAUUUGUUGAAAAAGCUCUUCUUUCCCCCAUUGAAUUGUCUUAGCACAUUUUUCAAACAUUACCCAACCACAAAUGUAAGGAUUUAUUUUUGGACACUCAGUUCUAUUUAACUGAUCUAAAUCUCUAUCCUUAUGGAAGUACCACUCUGUCUUGAUUAUUGUAGCUUUGUAGCAAGUUUUAAAAUUGGGAAGUGUGAGUCUUCUCACUUUGUUCUUCUUCUUUCAAAGUUGUAUUUGUUAUUUUGGGCCCUUUGCAUUUCUAUGUGAAUUUUGGGAUCAGCUUGUCCGUUUUUGCAAAAAGAAAAAAAAGGCAGUCAGGAUUUUGAUAGAGAUUGUGUUGAAUCUGUAGACUGAUUUGGGGAAAAUUGCCAUCAUCACAGUAUUAAUUCUUCUGGUCUAUGAAUGCAGGAUUUCUUUCCACUUAUUUAGGUCAUCUUUAAUAUAUCUGAACACUGUUCUGCAGUUUUUAGUGCACAGUUUUGUAUUUCUUUUGUUAAAUUCUCCUAAGUAUAUUUUAUGCUACUGUAAAUGGAAUUGUUUUCUUAUUUUAAUUUUCAGGGGAAAGUAAGAAAAUGGUCGGUCAUCACCUUCAGUCAUCAUCUCAGAUAGUGGGAUCAUGCUUGACUUUCCUUUAAGUUUUCUUUUUAAAACUGCAUUCUUCUUUUUUCCUUUUUUUUUUUUUUUUUGAGUCGCACAGGCUGGAGUUCAUUGCUAGUGUGUAGAAAUACAGUUGAUUUUUGUAUAUUGAUUUUGCACCCUGUAACCUUGCUGAACUCAUUUGUUAGCUUUCUGUGGAUUCUUCAGGAUUUUCUGUACUCAAAUUCAUGUCACCUGUGAAUAGAUGAUUUUACUUCCUUUCCGAUCUGGAUGCCUUUUCUUUCUUUUCCUUGCCUAAUUACCCUGGCCAAACCCUCCAGUGCAAGAUUCAGUAGAAGUCGUGAGAGCAGAUAUGCUUCUCUGGUUCCUGAUGUUGGGGGGAGGCAUUUCAUCUUUUACCUUUAAGGAUGUUUGUUGUGGGUUUUUGCUUGAUGCCUUUUAACUGUAAUCAGGUUGUGGAAAUUCCCUUGUAUUCCCAGUCUGUUGAGUGUUUUUAUCAUGAAAGGGUGUUGGAUUUUGUCAAAUGCUCUUUUCUGCAUCUCUUGAAAUGGUCAUGUGGUUUUUGUUCUUUAUUAAUAUACAGAUAAGUGUAUUACCUUGAUUAAUUUUCAUAUCCAAAGCAGCCUAGCGUUCCUCCUGAGAACUUCCAUGUCUCAAGUACAACUUUCAUUUUACAAUGACCCCCCUUGCUGUUGGGGCCACACCACCUUACAACUUGCCCAGCUCAGGAUGGCAAUUCUGACUGCAUGAUCGCUUGAUAUGUCUUGACCAGAUGCUCGGUUCUGACCAGAGCUCGGUAGCACACCUGGGGUGCUUUGUGGAUGAUGUGUGGUUCUUUGCGGGAGCUUGCAUGGCCUUGUUGUAGAACUCUAAGGGUUUUCAUAGUGACUCUCCUACAGGGGCUUGUCAGAAAGUCCAUAUGGUUCCUUUUUGGACCACAGAUAACUCUAGGGCUGUGAGAUCUGCUAGGUAUUGGGGUGCAGGCAUCGGGGCUGUUUGUACUGCAGCCUGGACUUGCUACAGAAUCCAUUAACUAACUGCUCACCCCAGUCAGAGCCAUCAGCUUUCCGUGUCUCUAGGUAAACAGAUUCAAGCAGUGUGACAAGCAUGGAAUAUGCUGCUUUCCAUAGACCUGUCAAGCAUUGCGUUUUGUUCUUAAUGGUACAAUGUACAAAAUGCAGUGUCUUGUUCUUUAUUUUUGAGAGGAUGCUGUAUCAUGUCUCAGACGACUGGAUUCCUAAAAACUCCCCAAAUGAAGCAGGUCCAAUUAGUAUGGUGUCACCAAUAUAUGGAUCCAUGCGAUUGAUUAUCUGUGGAGUGUCCGGAUGGUCCAGGACCCUUCAGAUUAUAUUACGAUGGAGAACAGGAAAAUUAACCAAAACCUGGGCAAGACUGCGAAUGUGUGCUACUAUCCAUCCCAGUUCUGGAGGCCGGAGUUGGAAAUCAGUUUCACUGGGCACACAUGGAGGUGUUUGAAGGGCUGCCCGUGCCAGAGGCUCUCAGGGAGAAUCCCUUCCUUGUCUGUUCCAGCUCUACCUCCUCCUCUGCUGUGUGAGUAAAACCUCCCUCGGCCUCUUUGAUUAGGAUAAGGUGUAUUUAGUGUCUAGCAGGACAAUCCAGGAAAUUCUUCCCAUCUCAAGAUCCCUAACUUGAUCCCUUCUGCAAAGACCUGCUUUCACUCCCAUCUGCAAACACCAUUUCCGGGUUCCAGGGAUAAGCCCUGACAUCUGUGGGUGGCCGUUAUUCAGUUACCGACAGUGUGGCAUGAUGAAAAUGAAGUGUUAAAACAAGGACUGCAGUAUUGUUUAUUCCAGCAAAUGGUGAGUGGUCCAUCCUUCUCCAAGCCCUUUCUCUUCUUCUUCUCAUGGUCUCUGGCAUCUGGGAGAGUCCACGUGGCCUGGGUUGGGCUAACAGAUACCAGCAGAAGUGAUGCGUACAACUUCCGGCAACCUAGGUGCACUUGUCUCGCCCUCCCUGGGAGCAGAUCCAUCCUCAAACCUGCAGACAAGGAUAAUGCUGUAGUGGGUACUGAGAAAAAAAAAAAAAAAAAAAAGAAGGAACCUAAAGGAAAUGUUGGAGCAGAAAUACAUUUCUAUCUUAUUCAAGCUGGUAUAUUUUGGACUUCUGUUGCUACAACAGUUUCAUCUUUAUCCUAACGAAUACCCAUACAUGUAUUAGUAAAAAUAUAAAGGUGUCCAGGGAAUAAUGUCAGACUGAGGAGAAUGGGGCUUGGGGGAAGACGGGUGGCAAGAGGAUGUGUAAGGAAUACACAGUUGUAUCUGCAAAAUGUUUUCACUCUUAAGUUCAGUGGCAAACUAACGGAUGUUCUUUAUAUUAUUCUCUAUGCUUUUUUCAAUAUCUGAUUUAUUUUGCUUUAAAAAUCUAUACUAAUAGUGGAUGAGAAAAUAAAUGUCAUAGAAGGGG
RNAcentral lists this long non-coding RNA (3518 nucleotides) under Homo sapiens (human). RNAcentral's name for it is "long independently transcribed non-coding RNA 2642, transcript variant 4 (LINC02642)". Lineage: Eukaryota; Metazoa; Chordata; Mammalia; Primates; Hominidae. The record is from RNAcentral.